This 460-nucleotide ribosomal RNA is filed under the name uncultured bacterium. RNAcentral's name for it is "partial 16S ribosomal RNA". It matches the Rfam family "Bacterial small subunit ribosomal RNA", at positions 338 to 795 of the family's 1533-position model. The record is from RNAcentral.
CCUACGGGAGGCAGCAGUGAGGAAUAUUGGUCAAUGGACGAGAGUCUGAACCAGCCAAGUAGCGUGAAGGAUGACUGCCCUAUGGGUUGUAAACUUCUUUUAUGUGGGAAUAAAACGUUCCACGUGUGGGAUUUUGUAUGUACCAUAUGAGUAAGGAUCGGCUAACUCCGUUCCAGCAGCCGCGGUAAUACGGAGGAUCCGAGCGUUCUCCGGAUUUAUUGGGUUUAAAGGGAGCGUAGGUGGAUUGUUAAGUCAGUUGUGAAAGUUUGCGGCUCAACCGUAAAAUUGCAGUUGAAACUGGCAGUCUUGAGUACAGUAGAGGUGGGCGGAAUUCGUGGUGUAGCGGUGAAAUGCUUAGAGAUCACGAAGAACUCCGAUUGCGAAGGCAGUUCACUGGACUGCAACUGACACUGAGGUUCGAAAGUGUGGGUAUCAAACAGGAUUAGAUACCCCAGUAGUC